CCUCUCCCUCUCCACUCACUCUCCCUCCGGUUCCUAAGAAGGUUAGGGUUUUCAUCAUCUCUCUCGUUUUCAUUAAUGCGUGUAGAUUUUUCGGUUAAAGGAAAUGCUGGUGAAGGAUGCCUGUGAUGAGGAAAUGAAAGUCAUGCACCACUCUGAUGUUUUCAGUGCUGAUAUAUGACAUACCCAUUUCUAUCUGAGCCAUUCUUCAUCUCUCUCUCAUAUGUUCUGAGAGUUGGGGUUUUUGGAUUUCUAAUUUCCUUUCUAUUUUGGUUGUGUAAUUUUUUAGGACUUUUUGGGUUGUUAUUUGUGUCCUUUUUCUUUUUAUUUUAUGAAAUAAAAGAUUGCCAAAUGAUGUAGCUGUUUUCUGUUGAAAAUGGCUAACUAUGAUGCGGACCGUAGAGAAACUAUGUUUGCUCUAUGGGGAUAAGCACUGGUGUUUGAUGGCUCUCUUUUUUUCUUUGAUAGUUAGAUCUCUUACAUUUAUUUGAUGGGGUGGUCUUGAUUGCUGCUGGUUUCCGGUUGUCCAUUCAUGGUCUUCUUCAAUGGGCAUUUUCCUAAACUGUUGAUAGUUUUUUCCUGGAUAGACUUGGUGAGUAAAGGUGAUCCUAACUACUGGAUUAUGUCCUGAGAAUGCCAUAAAUGGUUCAAAUUUAAUGGAACCGGGCUAGAGAUCCGAAUGGCUACAUGUUCAAUAUUUCCUAGAUCCGAUAUUCCAAUCUUAUGGGAUUUUUUUAAUGUUGUUUCCCAAAUUCACAGCUUUAGGGCUUUCUUGCUAACCUUGGUAGAGCACAGCACCACUACUGUGGCAGAAUAAGAUUGUACUUAAGCUUACCAAAUCAUGAUCCAGAGUGUUGCUUUUUGGAUCUCGUCUUAAAGCUUCACUCUGUUUCAACUCCAAGUGCCUGAGCCUCUAUACGAUUGCUGUGCCCAGCUAUAUUGAUCUUUCCUCUGAGAGUCCCUGCCUUUCGUUUUCCAAGUCUACGUGUUUCCACUUCCAUCAUCUUUUAUAUAUUGCUUGUUUGUUAUAUUAUUCUGCUUUUUGAUGUAAUUUCUUUAAAUUCCAACCAAAAGUAUUGCAUUGUUUUCCAUGCUGAUUAGAUCAGCAGUGAUGUUGUGUCAAUUCACAAGCUUGAUGGGAGGUAUCAAACUGAGACUUUUGAGUAGGCUUUAAUCCUAAAUUCCCAGCAGUGGUUUUCUCAUUCCUUCCCUAAGCCAUAGCUAUGGCCACAAAGGGUUUAGAACCUAGUUGUUUUAAAAAUAUGCUUGGUUCUCAGUUGGACUGUGGCUUUGGCAUAUGGAUCUGACCUGAUUGUUACGUGCUUCUUUUACAUGGUCCCAUCCUUUUCUCAUGUUGUGUUAAAAUGCCUAGGAGUGCCAUGUGCUGACAGAAUCUCACAUGGCAGAGUUUGUGGAUCAUGUUUUGAAUCAGUAACUUUCAAUUAACUUUGAACCAUGGAUGUCUAGCUUCUUAAUUUAUCAACCAUUGUUCAUUUCAAAAUUCAUUUUUUUUCUUUUUUCUCGUAUGUAAUGUCAAAUACUAUUAGCAAGCACCUUUUGGCUUGUGCAUGUAUGUUCAGGAUAAUUUAUAAAGGUCAGAGAAUUCCUCGAUUUUGACAAUUGUGAAUCAUUCAUGAAAAAAAAUUCUGAAAAUUUUUACAAAUUAUUCAUGGAUCAUGCCUCUAACUCUUAUGUUAACUUGUCGUUAGAUGAGCUGGUGGAGAAUAGUUUGUGUGAAUGAUCUAGGGUUCAAUUUUGAUAAAAUGACUAUCAGGUGCAAUAGAUUCAAAAAAUGACAAAUAUAUGGUGUGAGUCGCGAGUUGAAACUUGGGACCCUUUUCUUCCUUGUUUCAUGGUUGUUCUUAUUUUUUAUUUUUAAUUUGUAUUCUAUGUCAUCCAAAGUCCAGGUUCUAGACAAUGAUGAGAUUGCACGCUUUCAAUUUUGUGGUUUUCUAUCAUUACACUCUUGUUAAAAUCAUAUCCUCUUCAUGUAAAAUGAUAUCUUGAUGCAAUUGCACUUAUUAACUUUUGUGUGCUUUGCAAGGAGAUCCUAACUUUCAUUUACCCAACAUGCUAUCAAUUGGAUGUUUGUUUAAAUUCGAUUUUUUGUUAUUUUCAUCUUCAACAGGAUUAUGUUCAACAGCUAGAGUCUAGUAGGAUUAACUUAGCUAGUACAGGAGCUCUAGAGGGCUCGAGCUCAGGUGAGGCUCUUUAUUCAUGUGUACUAUAUAUAGUACAUUACCCAGCGUAAAGUCGAAUAAUCCGCUGUCCAUUCUCAUGAGAUUUUGAUUUAGACUUGCUACAGUAGACCGUGUUAAGAUCCCUUCAAAACAUUGAUGGUGGAUGAUAGACUAUAAAUUGAAUUCUCAUACCUCUUUCUAAUUUUUGUUGUUUUGCAAAAUUAUAUUUAUUGGGAAAUAUUUUUGGGAUGUGAACGCUCUUACUGUCCUUUCUUGUGGUCGGGCAAGUCUAUUAUUCAAAAAGCUCUAUUUGAAGUUGGAUGCUCUCUCUCAUUUUCUAUUGAGAUACUUCUAAUAUUGGGUGGGGGAAAUCCAAUUUCUACAUCCAGUGAUGAGUUGGGCCAUGUAUGGAUGAGACUUAGAACUAAGUAGGAAUGAAAUGUCUAGAUUGAUUAAGUUUUGGGCUGAGGGUAAAUACUUGCAUUUUUUCUAUUCAGAUACUUCUAAUAUUGAAUGAAAUUGAGUUUUCUCUUUGACAGAGUGAAGAAGAAGAGUGUGGUUUUCAUUUUCCGUUCUUCUUUAUACUUGGAAGUUGGGUUUAAUAUUGCUCAAGUCAUUAGGGUAUAACCCAUGUAUGGAGGAUUUCAUGUUUCCAUGCUUGGGCUGCCAACCAAAAACAGAGUUCUCAACUUGUGGCUGGCCAUGAUUUAGAUAAUGCUAAGCACAAUUUGCAAAACAAAUCUACAGCUUUGAGAAACUUUGCAAAGUUUUAUAACCCAUUCGUUGGUUUCAAAUAUCGGAGGCCAUAUGCUGGUUGGACCAGAUUUUGCUUUUGGGAAAACAUAUACAAGGUGUGUUUCUUUCUUUCUUUCAUUUUUUGGAAACUCACUCAUCUCUCUAGUGAUCCCAUUAUGAGGUAGGGUUGGUAGCUCCCUUGUACUCAGCCACUUGAACAUCGCACUUGAGCACGAUAAUCCAUUCAUUCUUUAUUAUGCCAGAAUCUCUUAAAUGAUUUAUCUAUGUGUUGCCUUCCUUUUAGUUUUGUUGUAGUAUAGUCAUUUUAUUUUAUAAGCAUAUGUCAUUCAAGGUGACCUUUGAAGAGGAUGCUUAUGAAAGGGAAAACUUUCUGGCUACAAAAUAUCCUUAUAGGCAUUAGAUAUAUAAUCUUUAUAUACAUGGAGAUGCACUUUACAGGAGCAUUGCAAGUGAUGGUGGUUUUCCUUUCCUUGACAUUGUCUGAUAUAUGAUUUUGUCACUGGUUUCCUCUUCAAUCUAAAUGCAGUGAUUUAAACAUGUCCAUCUAAUAAAUGCAGGAUAUCAACUGAACUUGCUGCCUUGUCUAGUCAGCAACAUGGUGCCUUGUUUCAAAACAAAAGCAGCAACGAUAAUUUGUUCCAGCAAAAUCUGGGCAUAUCCAAUGAUCUCUCAAGUGAUCCCAACCAACAUUCACACAGAUCCUUGAAAAGCUAUACCAUGCCAGCCACGUCAUCAUUGGAAAUGAGUUGGUGAAGCUAGCAUCCAUUCAGCUCUCAUUCAAUGAUUGUGCUUCUGCAAUGGAUACCAUAAAACGGGUAGAUGCAAUAUUUUCACUGUAUUAUGGAUCUCACACGUCGAAGCUAUUUCCAUAUUUGGAAAAUCUCAAAAGAAAAGUUCUCAAGCUCGCUCCAUAAUGAGAAACCUUCUGUUUUAUCUGUUCAGAUCUUCACUGACUUUAGGUGUGGAUAUAUUGGUUGGCGUCACUGACUUUAGGUAAACACUUCUAUGCCCACAGAAUUGCUUUGCUUGCUUCUUCAGACGCGUUCCGUGCAAUGUUUGACAGUGGUUAUCAGCUGAGUCUAGCCAUAUUUUCACAUUCAACACAUGGUACAUCAGUACAUUGUCAUACAUCUUCACGCAAGGUGAUUUGCAGGCUUUCUAGUCAAUAACAUCUCCACCGACAAAGCCAUGGCAUGGUUUCUUGGAAACAACAGCUUGUCCGAUACACGGCCAUUCCAAAAAAGCUAUAUACUUCUUAAAUUGUUUUAGGCAUGGAUGAAUGGUAGCUAGAUCGAUGGAUUUUAUUUAUUUAUUUAUUUAUUUUGAAACUAUUCAAUUUAUUAUUGUAAAUAUUAUUCGCAGCAGCUCUAGUAGAGUAGAGAAGGGAAAUGGCUACAACAUCAAACAAAGAAGCCUCCAUCUACUUGCUUAUAAGUUGCUUUUUGUAAGCCAUAGCCCAUCCUACCAAUGCAACAGCCAAUUUUUUUGGCUUGCACAUUCGUGCGCCACAUCAGCACAUAAGGUGGCAUGCCUAAUGCUAACCUUUGACUCAGUGGCAUCAAAUGAAUGGCUAAGAUGAAAACUGUCAAGGAGAUUUUUGGGGCACAA
Molecule: long non-coding RNA, 4541 nt
Organism: Magnolia sinica
Lineage: Eukaryota; Viridiplantae; Streptophyta; Magnoliopsida; Magnoliales; Magnoliaceae
Exons: 7
Source: RefSeq, a predicted model, not a curated record